CAACUAUCCAGAAAUGCGAGGGAAGCAAGGUUCGAUGGGAAAGGAGAAUUGAAGAAGGGUAAAGAUCUACAAACUGGAUUUAUUCAAGGCACAGUACUUUCAGAGUACAGGCCACCCACCCCACCAUCUGGCACAGGGUACCACCGCUACCAAUUCUUCCUUUACGAGCAGCCAGAUGAUAGAAUAAUCUCCCUGAAUAAACAGGAAGCAAAAUCCUUCGGUUCUUGGGACUUGGAUUCAUUUGUGUCCAGGUUCAACCUUGGAAGCUCAGUGGCAUCAACUCAAUUCAUGACCCAGAACUUGGAAGACUGAAAGAACGACUUGGCUGUGAAAGCUUUCAAAGAGGAACUUCAGCUUUGCAUAACGUCUUCCAUAGAAAAAGUCCUUAACUGCUUUUGCAUGGAUAAUACCAAGGCAUGAUAAGCUGAUUUUGUUUGGCAUACACAAGUUCUACAAAAACAAACACAAUAAUGGAUAAUUCCUUGUCAGUGUUCUACUUGCAACUUAUAGUCUAAGAAUUGAAAAUAUUCCAUUGGCAAUCGUGGAAACAGGAAAAUCUAAUGCUAUGUAGAUGGCUUUAUUUCAACGCUUCUUAUUUGCACUGAGAAAACAAAACAGAUUGCUUUAUCAAUGAUUUUUGAAUCAACCUGGACUACUGUGGCUGGGAAGGCCUACUAUCUAAAUGUCAUCAAGGAUCCCAAGUAAUCUGAGUUGGGGUGUCCCUUUGAAAUUUUCAUCAACUUUGGUCAUUUCUGCGCAUUUAAUUUUCCUCUCAUCAGUGUGCUUUGGCAAUACUGCUGUGAUUUAUUGGAUUAAAAGGAAAUUGAAAUAUCGUGGGUGUGUUCCGGAAGAAUGAUUAGGUUAGGUUGAGACAUGUAAUAAAAUCUGAUUUAACAGUAAUGUCUCCAGAAAUUAUUAGCUUGAGG
Molecule: long non-coding RNA, 926 nt
Organism: Rhincodon typus (whale shark)
Lineage: Eukaryota; Metazoa; Chordata; Chondrichthyes; Orectolobiformes; Rhincodontidae
Exons: 4
Source: RefSeq, a predicted model, not a curated record